UGAAACUAAGCGGUUGUCCUUUAACACUGAUGUUCAAGUGUCAGUCAUUGGAUAUCUACUUACUGUGCAUUGAUGGACACCCAAUCAAUCUGAGGGUCUUUGAAGAAGAUAUCACAAGCAUUAUCCAUCUCCAUUAAACUCCAGAAUCUCAAGGGCUGAAUCCAUUUUCUCUCUGUAUCAAUUGUAAUCUGGACUGAUUAGUGUGUGAUUAGAAUGCAUGACUGUAACUCUCCCUGCCCAGUAACUCAAAGCCCAGAAGCAUCAAUGAUAGGUCAGCUUCUACAGCAAAUGGAUGAGAUUGAAGGAGUCAAUUCUUGUUCCUUGUGAGAUAGAAGAGGCUUAUGGAUCAGACUCAAACUGUGUGAAAAUCUACAGACUUUGUGCAGAAAGUAAAACUCCUUUAUGUUCAAAGUAGGCAUCGAAAAAACGAAGUGAAGAGAAGGAGACAAGAGACAGAAGAAGAUUGCCACACGAACAUAACCCAUCCGUUCCCUGUCAGAAGAAGCCAGUAAUUUAUAACACACAUUAGGAACACAGAUCACAGAUAGUGUUUGAGUGAAGCUAUCAGUGCAGAAGUGAAUAUCAAAGCCAAGGAGACAUCAGAGAGCCCCAUCAGCAGACAAGCAACAGUCUCAACGGUGUGCUAGAGCUCUGAAACAUUAAUGACAGAUGUCACCG
Carassius auratus (goldfish) is the source of this 678-nucleotide long non-coding RNA. RefSeq lists it as uncharacterized. The record is from RefSeq and is a predicted model, not a curated record. The transcript has 3 exons. Lineage: Eukaryota; Metazoa; Chordata; Actinopteri; Cypriniformes; Cyprinidae.